This 305-nucleotide ribosomal RNA is filed under the name uncultured bacterium. RNAcentral describes it as "partial 16S ribosomal RNA". It matches the Rfam family "Bacterial small subunit ribosomal RNA", at positions 508 to 807 of the family's 1533-position model. The record is from RNAcentral.
ACAGCAGUAGCCGCGGGAAUACAGAGGGUGCGAGCGUUAAUCGGAUUUACUGGGCGUAAAGCGUGCGUAGGCGGCUUCUUAAGUCGGAUGUGAAAUCCCUGAGCUUAAAUUAGGAAUUGCAUUCGAUACUGGGAAGCUAGAGUAUGGGAGAGGAUGGUAGAAUUCCAGGUGUAGCGGUGAAAUGCGUAGAGAUCUGGAGGAAUACCGAUGGCGAAGGCAGCCAUCUGGCCUAAUACUGACGCUGAGGUACGAAAGCAUGGGGAGCAAACAGGAUUAGAUACCCCGGUAGUCCCUGUCUCUUAUAC